This 492-nucleotide ribosomal RNA is filed under the name uncultured bacterium. RNAcentral's name for it is "partial 16S ribosomal RNA". It matches the Rfam family "Bacterial small subunit ribosomal RNA", at positions 29 to 507 of the family's 1533-position model. The record is from RNAcentral.
AGUGAACGCUGGCGGUAGGCCUAACACAUGCAAGUCGAACGGCAGCACAGUAAGAGCUUGCUCUUACGGGUGGCGAGUGGCGGACGGGUGAGGAAUACAUCGGAAUCUACUUUUUCGUGGGGGAUAACGUAGGGAAACUUACGCUAAUACCGCAUACGACCUACGGGUGAAAGCAGGGGAUCUUCGGACCUUGCGCGAUUGAAAGAGCCGAUGUCGGAUUAGCUAGUUGGCGGGGUAAAGGCCCACCAAGGCGACGAUCCGUAGCUGGUCUGAGAGGAUGAUCAGCCACACUGGAACUGAGACACGGUCCAGACUCCUACGGGAGGCAGCAGUGGGGAAUAUUGGACAAUGGGCGCAAGCCUGAUCCAGCCAUACCGCGUGGGUGAAGAAGGCCUUCGGGUUGUAAAGCCCUCUUGUUGGGAAAGAAAAGCAGCAGGUUAAUACCCCGCUGUUCUGACGGUACCCAAAGAAUAAGCACCGGCUAACUUCGUG